Long non-coding RNA from Ictalurus punctatus (channel catfish), 766 nucleotides. RefSeq lists it as uncharacterized. The record is from RefSeq and is a predicted model, not a curated record. Lineage: Eukaryota; Metazoa; Chordata; Actinopteri; Siluriformes; Ictaluridae. The transcript has 4 exons.
CCAGAACAUGCAUACUUUUUUACUACACACUCAAAGGUUUAUACUUUGCGGAGACGUUUAGGUGGCAUUUGUGGAAGGAGUCUCCAGUGUCGGCACUUUGUAACAGUUAAAGGCUCCUGUGGAGGCAGCCAGAGGAGAGAGACGUCCUUUCUGUCCGUUCCAGAAGACCAGUGCUGAUGAUCAGCCUCGAGGCACACCUGAACACAGCUGUCAAAAGUUCCUCAGCAGUGUUAUUGCAGUGCUGGUUCAGCAGCUAAGGUUUUGUGCUACUGAUCAGAAGGUCAUUAGUUCAAGCUCCAGCACUGCCAAGCUGCUACUGUUGGGCUUUUGAGUGAGACCCUUGGCCUUCUCUGCUCCAGCGGCGCUGUAUCGCUGACCCCAGCUUCCUAACAAGCUAGGAUAUGUGCAGAAAAGAAUUGCACGCUACUGUACAUGUAUACGUGACAAUAAAGGCUUUCUUUGAAAUCUUCCAAAAGACCUGUACAUUCAAUUGAUUUUGGAAUAAUCUGAUGUUAGAAUUAAUGUGACACCCUGAUCUUUAUUAGGGAUUUAGCAGAAGCCUUCAUGCUUAUUUAACUGGAUAUUAAACUUGAAGCCCACUAAUAGUCAUUGGGGUGGACAAUGUGACAAUAUAAUAUCGACAUUGAAGGAAAAAGAUAUUGAGAUAUCUUUUUGUGUGGUUGUUUUUAAAAAUUUAAUUACAAGCAGACUGGAAGCAACUGAUUUGAUGUUAAAAUUUUGUACUUGAUCUUUAAAAAAUUGUAAC